GACGAACGCUGGCGGCGUGCUUAACACAUGCAAGUCGAACGAAGAGCGAUGGAAGCUUGCUUCUAUCAAUCUUAGUGGCGAACGGGUGAGUAACGCGUAAUCAACCUGCCCUUCAGAGGGGGACAACAGUUGGAAACGACUGCUAAUACCGCAUACGAUCUAAUCUCGGCAUCGAGGAUAGAUGAAAGGUGGUCUCUACAUGUAAGCCAUCACUGAAGGAGGGGAUUGCGUCUGAUUAGCUAGUUGGAGGGGCAACGGCCCACCAAGGCGAGGAUCAGUAGCCGGACUGGGAGGAUGAACGGCCGCAUUGGGACUGAGACCAGGCACAGACUGCUACGGGAGGGAGCAGGGGGGAAUCUUCCGCAAUGGACGAAAGUCUGACGAAGCAACGCCGCGUGCGGGAUGACGACCUUCGGGUUGUAAAGGACUGUUAAUCGGGACGAAAGGCCUUCUUGCGAAUAGUGAGAAGGAUUGACGGUACCGGAAUAAAAAGCCACGGCUAACUACGUG
Molecule: ribosomal RNA, 510 nt
Filed under: uncultured bacterium
Lineage: Bacteria
Description: partial 16S ribosomal RNA
Rfam family: Bacterial small subunit ribosomal RNA
Source: RNAcentral